This 561-nucleotide long non-coding RNA is filed under the name Vulpes vulpes (red fox). Its description in RNAcentral is "lncRNA (ENSVVUG00000000269.1)". Lineage: Eukaryota; Metazoa; Chordata; Mammalia; Carnivora; Canidae. The record is from RNAcentral.
AUGAAAAAGCCUUCGAGCCCACUGUCAAAUGCUGCAAAUCCUGCGUUGACUGUCUUUCAACCUCACUGUGGCAAUUUAUUCCCACUCUUGUGCCCACCUCGACCCUUCAGACAGAGGGACGCCUUAGGCUCACCAAGGAAAAUGGCAAAUAGUGGAAAGCUGAAGUCCCCAAGGAUAAUGACAUGGUCUUCUCUUUCUGUUGUCUCCAUGGUGACAAGGACUCUGCAUCUUGUGUCUGAGAUUUGCUAUGGACUGGAUCUUAUAUCCAAGGUUUUCUCUGAUGACAAGGAUGAAACUUUCCUGCUUUAGGACGGAAAGAAGACUUAUGAACAAGAGCAAUUAGGAAACUCUGCAUACUUUCCCAUGCCACUCUGAGAGUCCGGUGGCCCACUUUGGGAAGAGGAGCAGUGGUGACAUCUCAGCAACAUCCUCUGCCAAACACACCCUGAGGUAAGCAUAGUCUCAGCCUGGAUUUUCCAACCUGAUAUACCAAACUGGUGUGAAAAUUUCUGUGUGAAGCUACUCUCUAGCAGGUGAAGUAUAGGUUCACUCAGUACUCAG